GUCGUCCCAGAGAUGCCUUUGGAAAAGCGGAAGGGCACGGAGGGUUCUGGAGUUCGUUGCUGGCACCUGCGUGGUGUCAUGAGAACGUGGCGGGGCGAUUCACACUACAAGGAAUACUAAAGGACGUUCUCCACAUUGAAGGAAAAUGAUCUAAAGAGAAACAGAUCUGUAAGAAGAAAUGAAGAGCACUGGUAAAGGUCCAGCAUAGCAAGUGGGUGGUGAGAUGCCGGCAGUGGAAUUCUAGAAGCAGUGCCUCCCAGAACAGCACUACAGUACUGAGGAAGGACUAUGCACCUGGGAAGCUGUCACACACACAAAAUCAUUUCAUGAAAACUUUCUUUGGGUAAAGGAAGGGUUCCACUGCGUAGUAUUUGAUUUGAGAAGGGCUGCAUGGUGCAUGAGGUUAAGAAAGAAAUGACUAUAUUUGCCUUUAAACACUUCAGCUGAUUCCAAGCACCCAACUUCAGAGGCUCAGUGAGAAGAAAGCACACUAAUUAAAGAAAGCACAUUAAUUAAAGAUACCACCACCUGCCAAAUAAUAGCAUGUGCUGCAAGGAAUGGGGCUAGGGAGAGUGUUUCACAAAUGCAGAGCACCAGGCCACAAGGUUAAAGUCAUGCACUAAAACAGUCAAUCCCAAGAGGCAGGUGUCUGAGUGGCGCGACUCAGAAGCAAGUACAUAAAAACGGAACACUCCCAACAGGACACCACUCUAGCCCCACUUCUGCCAAAGGAAAGUUUUCACAUCAAGGUGUAACACACAUCUUUGCAAUUCAAGGUUUAUCCCUCCCCUCUCCCCCAAAGAGACAGGAAAUACAAGUUAAGGUCCUCAUAGCAAUGGUUUGUCUCCCACUUGGGAAGGCUGGUUAUUGUCAACAUUUUUAUUUAAGAAAACAGGAUUUAACAUGGCAUUUUUCUUCCCUCUAAGGGCAGCAGCACAUAAAUCAUACAUCAGUCAUCCAGUGAUACAAAGAGGUGGCCAAUUGUGUCUGAAGUAGUCACUUGUAAAGGAUCACAACCCAGGCAGUGUUGCUUUUCUGCAAACAGAAGGAAACAGAAGGCUCCAUGGUCCUUGAAGAUUAUCCAAGUUUUCCACUAGUUGUCAAGAUUUCUGUCCCAACCUCUUAGUCACCAUUUACAGCAAGAAGAGCCAGCAAGUGAAAAACUGUUAAUUUAUUGAUUCAAAGUUGUUUUUUUUCUUUUUAAAAAACAAUCCCCAAUACAUGCAGUUCAGGGUUAAGUAUCACAUUUGUAGCACAUUGUUGAGUCUCAAAACAAAAAUAUGCAUCACCUGUAUAAUCCCAUCACAUCUUUUUCCAGCCUCUACAAUACCUAGUUGGGGGUGUUUUCAUUUAUACAUCCACAUAGCUCAGAAGCAUGUUAUUAACGGUUGAUCUGGCCCGAUGCUUCUCCGCCACCUCCCCUGCCCUGGUCUCCACCUCGGGGUUAUUUUUUUCUAAAGGCAGGAUGUUACUCAGUCUUAAUUUAUUAAGAUCACUGACAAACUUUGGCUUCUUGUGUGCUCAUGUGGUCCCUGCUUUUGCUUUCGGAAGGGUUUAUAUUGAAACGACUGUGACUCUGAUCGGUUAUUAUCCCCUCAUUUUUUGUAGGAAAUAAGUUUGCUUGUUUCUGUGGGUGCUCACACAGUAACACAGGUUCCUAAAGUAACCAUUUAAUCUGAACUGGUAUUAAAGGAAACUGUUAACCAGGCUCUCUUAGAUCUAUUUCAGUUCAUAUAAAAAAACUCUUCCAAUUGUUGCUUGUGUCUCAAAGUAGUUCUGCUUCCAUCCUUAUCAACAGAGCACCUGGGAGAACCUAAGUCAUUUCCCUGAGUAGGCACAGACCACGAGCCCCGCGGCACCCAGCUCUCUCUGGGACUAAGCGCCUGACUCGAGAGCACCACCUUUCAGUCCACUGGGACCAAUCCAGUGGGCAGCGCCCUCCCCAGGGUACAUUCCAGAACAUAAACUUGGUACCCUCUAAUUUAUCCCCUCAAGAAGUUAAUUUCCUCCUCAAGAGCUACCUUUAGAUGGAUUUUCUUAUUGGUCCCUUUUCUUUUAACAGCCCUUCCCCUAGCCACUCUCUUCAAGUCCCCAAGGAUUACGAGUUUGUCUGUCUCCUCUAAUCUAUCAGUCUGAGAGCACCUUCCUCUCUGCAAGGGAACACAUUUGCUUUAAACCUUGUGAGUGCUGACAUGUUACAGAAUGUCUGGGAGGAGGCCUGGCUGAGUGACUGGUGUUUAAGUGCCUCAAUGAACGACAUCAGCGCUUCUCUAGUUGGUGAGAAGGCCCAGGAAAGCUUGGUCUGCGUCAUACACUCAAUAGCUUCUCCUACCCAGCCACCUACCCUGCCUACAGGGAUAGGAUGAAAGCAAGGCCAGCUGACAGCAUCCAGGGGAGAGUGAACUGCCACCACACCAGAGGUGCAAAUGUGACUCAGCACUUCAUGAGUUCUACUCUCACCAUGGGAUUUCUCAGCAGAAGCAAACCUUGCAGUCAGGCUCACUUGUAGCCAACAAAUGAUAUAGCCAUCUGGAUUUGGCAUAGGAACCUUUUGUUCUCACCAUACCAGGUCUAUGUUCUUGAACAUAGGCAGUACCUGAGAUGAUAGUAUAACACUACCCUGUUCCCCACAUUUUUUGCUUUUCUUUAGGAAAUAAUUAAGUCCUUAUCAUAGGCACUUUUAACCUGUUUAAGAUAAUGAAGCAAACAAAUGAAAAGUACUGAGAUGAGUUUAAGAAAGAAUAUGCUAACUGAAAAGGAUACUGGGUGCGUACAUUUACCAUGGUUUAGUCUAAAUAUUAGACACACAGACACACACACAGACACACACACAGACACACACACAGACACACACACAGACACACACACACCCCUUUUGGAACUCUCCAAGACCAUCUCCGAAUCUAGGUAAAUAGUCUUAAAAUUUCGGGGGAGCUAGGUUUGGAAACAAAAAUGGUUUUUGGAGACAGGAAAAGAGAUGGUCUGAAACUGGACUCACUUCAGUUUGGAAAGGAAUAGCCUAGGUGCCAAGACCAGACCCAGGAAGGGGUGAGCAUUUCAAGCCCAGUUAUGGUCUAAGUCUAAGGCAUGAAGAGAGGUAAAAGUCUAGGUGCUGGAAAAGCAAGCUGUGUGCUUCAAAGGAAGAAUGCCUGUGUCAAAGCUGCAGUUACAAAACCCCAGGACAAGGCAGGCAGGCGGUGUCUGCACCUACAUCACCGUCAGAGAGACAGGCAGAGGUCAAUCACCUGACUAUUCUCCUCCAGGUACUUUUAUUACCUUUGGGGGACCCAAGGGAAAGGAAUGGAGUUACCGCUUCACCAAGACCCUCCAGUAGGCACCUCUUGCCUGGUCCAGACAGGCAACUUAAAAAAAAAAAGGGAGGGCUGAGGAGUGGGGUGGGGUGAUAAAGGAGAUUGGAGGGGGAGCAGGAAAGACACGCAGUGGCACAUCUCCCUGAUGAUAACCAAUGCUUCAGGAUUGCCUAUAAGGGCAUAUUAGAAGGCUUUUGAUAAUCUCAAACACUGAGUUUUGCUGCCUGACAUAUCAAUACAGGUUUAGCCAAAGAGCUCACAUCUUGCUUUUGAUUUUCAGGUAGAACAAAUGUUUACAUUAGUAUACAGAAUGUGCAAUGCAAGCAGGCAGCAUUGGUAUGAGAACCUUAACUGAAUGCAUUCCUUGGCUUUGGGAUCUUAUUUAUUUUUUACUCUAUAAACUCAACUCUAUAAUAAGAGAAGAGUUUCAUUUGUAUUUUAAGUUCCCACAGACCAAACGACAAAAAUAGAAUCUACAUUUAGAGUAGGAUCUGCUACCAAUACCAAUAAGAUUUUAUUGGAAUAUGGAAUGUAAACAAAUGUUUCAAACAAACAUCUAACCUUAUAAAAAUGUAUGGCAUUAUUAAAUAGUUAAUAAAGAAAUCUUAAAGGGUGAUGUGGUAGACACCUCUAGUUCUAGCCUAGGUGUGUGAAGUCCCCACAGCUGUGGCAUGGCCCUGCAGCUGGGGUGAGGGGACUGCCUACAAACCAUGUUGCUCCUGAGUCCCCAAAAUGAAAUCAGCCCUAUUUUUGUUUAAACAAACUCUAGCUUUCUCUGCUAACAUGAAGGUUUGCAAAAUGGAUCCAACACUUGCUCCGGGAGCACCAUUUUCUUCCCCAAGCCCCUUGUAUAU
This 4165-nucleotide long non-coding RNA is filed under the name Homo sapiens (human). RNAcentral's name for it is "novel transcript, antisense to CSNK2A2". Lineage: Eukaryota; Metazoa; Chordata; Mammalia; Primates; Hominidae. The record is from RNAcentral.